Panicum virgatum (switchgrass) is the source of this 623-nucleotide long non-coding RNA. RefSeq lists it as uncharacterized. The transcript is spliced from 2 exons. NCBI's taxonomy places the organism in Eukaryota, Viridiplantae, Streptophyta, Magnoliopsida, Poales, Poaceae. The record is from RefSeq and is a predicted model, not a curated record.
AGUGCAGAAUGUUGCAGCUUGCUUAAGAAUCAUUGUGUACUCUUUCAACUAUUCAAUUGAUCUUUUUUACUAUCUUGCUAGACAUUGGGUCGACCUGUAUCCUUGCAUAAAUAUAUUUCAUUUGGAGAACAAGAGUUCCAGCUAAGUAUAAAUUUUUGGUUUCGGCUUCUACUGCAUGGUAGAUGCUAGCUGGACAAUGGCAGGCACCACAAACAUAUUUUUCGGGACAAGUUAUUGGGCUUUAUGUGCUCAAGACAGGGAGAUAGUUGAACAACUGAUCCUGCAUUCCUCAUCAAUCAGCGAAGAAGUCUGGUUCAGAGUUCAUACUGCUCUGGAUGGCAGGUCAGCAUAUCCGAACACCUAUGACUGAAACCUCAUUCGCGCAGUGGUGGAUGAAGGAGAAGUGAAGGAGCUGAUUCACAUUCUUCAACGUGUUCAUACAGUCAGUGGUAGAGCUUCAUGUCAAAUUCAAAGGCAUCCAACACUUAUUUUGAGAUUAAAUCACUGAAGAUUUCCUAAAGAGAAGGUGUCAACAAGAUUUGCUCCUGAAGGAUCAAAGCAUACUCCUCACUUCUCACCAAUCAUGGGACUUUAGUGGAAGGGGCAAUAGAGUACUGACCCCU